AUGAAUUGGACCUCCAUGCUCCUUUCCUCUGGUACUUCUUCAGUGUUGCUUAAUGGGGUGCCAGGAAAAUUCUUUCAUUGCAAUCAAGGGGUUAGACAAGGUGACCCUGUCUCUCCUUUGCUAUUUGUGUUGGCUGCUGACCUACUCCAAUCCACCCUCAAUGAAGCUAUGCAAAAUCAGCUGAUUCUUCCUCCUAUUGUUAGUCAAGCUUGCCCUGACUUCCCAGUGAUUCGGUUUGCUGAUGAUACCAUCUUAGUCCUGCCAGCUGAUAUGAGACAAAUUGAGCAAGUCAAAAAUCUCCUCCUUCAUUACUCUGCUUUCACAGGUCUGAGAGUGAAUUAUGAGAAAUCCUUCUUGGUGCCACUAAAUGUACCAAUCACACAGCUUCACUCUUUGCUUAAUGUUUUGGGCUGCCAGCAAGGUCAUUUUCCUUUCACCUAUUUAGGUCUCCCUCUUGGCACAACAAAACCAAAAAUUGAAGAUUUUAACCCAAUGAUGCAAAGAAUUGAAAGAAGGCUUUCUGGCUGCUCCACUAUGUUAUCUUAUGAUGGCAGGCUUUUGCUUAUAAAAUCAGUUUUUGCAUCUCUGCCAAUUUUCUUCAUGAGCUCUCUAGCUCUCCCAGUUGGUGUGUUACAGCAAAUCAACAAGUACUUGAGAAAUUUCCUUUGGAGGAAAUUUGGUAUGGAGGAUAGAGGAACUGCACUUAUUGCUUGGUCCAAGGUUUGUAGGCCAAAAAAGCAAGGAGGACUUGGAAUACUUGAUAUCUCUAUUCACAACAAGGCACUACUAAUGAAAAAUAUGCUUAAAUUUCUCAAUAAGGAGGAUAUACCUUGGAUUAAUUUGAUCUGGGAGAAAUAUUACCACACUGAACUGCCAAGAAGGAAAGUUGAAGGCUCUUUCUGGUGGAAGUCUCAUAUUGCUCUCCUGGAGAGAUUCAAACAAAUCAGCAAAUGCUCCAUUGGGUCAGGACAAUCUAUUCUCUGUUGGUCAGAUACUUGGUUGGAACAGCAGCUCCAAUCUUUGCUCCCUCACCUUCACUCCUUUGCCCUUCAUGAGGAUCAAUCGGUACUAAGUUUCUUUCAGGAGGAAAAUUGGAUUGAUCAGUUCCAUUUACCUCUCUCUGUAGUAGCAUUUGAAGAAUUCAACCAGCUCCCCUCUUUGGCUCCGACCUUAGACCCACAAGUUAAAGAUAGGUGGAACAUUAUUGGUGCUUCUGGCAGGCCCUCUUCAAUUCUGAUCUAUAAUUUGCUUCUGGACAAUCAUGAGGAGCAUCCGUUUUUCAGUCUCAUUUGGGAUAGCUCCAGCAGGCUAAAGCAUAAAAUCUUUUUUUGGUUGGUAGCUCACUGUCGAAUCAACACUAGGGCUCUUCUUCUAAGGAAAGGCAUGCACCUUGAUGAUACCUUUUGCCCUAACUGUAAUCAGCAAGCAGAAGAAACUCCUAUGCAUUUAUUGUGGGAUUGCAGUUUUGCACAAGACUGCUGGAACUCUCUGAUUCCAAACAGACGAAGAGGAACUUCUGUUUAUGAGGACACCAUCUUGGCCACGCAGCUCCUUCCAAAACAAUUUGCUAUCGAAAUCCUUAUUUUGGGUUGUUGGAACAUUUGGAUUCAGCGAAAUAACUUUGUGUUCAGAGCACUUCCUCAUUCAAUUCAGUCUUGGAGAUACCACCUCAAGAAUGAUCUUAAGCUACUUCGACAUAAGAUCAAGCAAAAGUUUGCAGUUCGCUUUUCACAGUGGAUAGAUCAUAAUCUGUAA
This 1755-nucleotide ribosomal RNA is filed under the name Triticum aestivum (bread wheat). RNAcentral's name for it is "partial small subunit ribosomal RNA". Lineage: Eukaryota; Viridiplantae; Streptophyta; Magnoliopsida; Poales; Poaceae. The record is from RNAcentral.